AGUGAACGCUGGCGGCAUGCCUUACACAUGCAAGUCGAACGGUAACGCGGGGCAACCUGGCGACGAGUGGCGAACAGGUGAGUAACGCAUCGGAACGUGCCCAGUAGUGGGGGAUAGCCCGGCGAAAGCCGGAUUAAUACCGCAUACGACCUACGGGUGAAAGGGGGGGAUCGCAAGACCUCCCGCUAUUGGAGCGGCCGAUGUCAGAUUAGGUAGUUGGUGGGGUAAAGGCCGACCAAGACUGCGAUCUGUAGCUGGUCUGAGAGGACGACCCGCCAGCCUGGGACGGAGACAAGGCCCAGACUCCUACGGGAGGCAGCAGUGGGGAAUUAUGGACAGUGGGAGCGAGCCUGAUCCAGCCAUGCCGCGUGCGGGAAGAAGGCCUUCGGGUUGUAAACCGCUUUUGUCGGGGAAGAAAAGCCUUGGGUUAAUACCCUGGGGUGAUGACGGUACCUGAAGAAUAAGCACCGGCUAACUACGUGCCAGCAGCCGCCGUAA
RNAcentral lists this ribosomal RNA (498 nucleotides) under uncultured bacterium. RNAcentral describes it as "partial 16S ribosomal RNA". It matches the Rfam family "Bacterial small subunit ribosomal RNA", at positions 30 to 523 of the family's 1533-position model. The record is from RNAcentral.